This 452-nucleotide small RNA is filed under the name Pan troglodytes (chimpanzee). RNAcentral's name for it is "processed transcript". Lineage: Eukaryota; Metazoa; Chordata; Mammalia; Primates; Hominidae. The record is from RNAcentral.
GGAAGGUAACUAAAGGUAACGUCACAAUAAAGAUCUUCCUAAUGCCUUGGAUGAGAAACAGCUAAUUGAAAAAAUGAAUCUGUCUGCUAUUCAGGAUAGAGAAAUUUGCUGCUAUUCAAUUUCUUGCAAAGAAAAGGAUAAUAUAGAUAUCACACUUCAGUGGCUUAUUCAGCAUUCAAAAUCUAGAAGAAGCUGAAGCAUCUCCUGAAGUCUUCCAGUCCUUCUUGGCUAUAAUCCUAGAAUUAUUGUCCGUUCCUCUGAAGUAAUUCCCAGAAUACGGUCCUUCCUAAACCCCAGAAAUUGCCUUUUUCAGAGUUUAUUUCUCAUGUGCACUGCUGAAGAUGAAUAUCCCUAAUCCUUCAUAAAGAAUCAGCUAGAGUUGUCAUGAUAAAGUCAGCACACACAAAAAGGCUUCUUACACAUACCUGUCUUAAACCAUGUGUAGAGCUUUA